Molecule: ribosomal RNA, 268 nt
Filed under: uncultured bacterium
Lineage: Bacteria
Description: partial 16S ribosomal RNA
Rfam family: Bacterial small subunit ribosomal RNA
Source: RNAcentral
UACGAAGGGGGCUAGCGUUGCUCGGAAUCACUGGGCGUAAAGGGCGCGUAGGCGGCGUUUUUAAGUCGGGGGUGAAAGCCUGUGGCUCAACCACAGAAUGGCCUCGAUACUGGGACGCUUGAGUAUGGUAGAGGUUGGUGGAACUGCGAGUGUAGAGGUGAAAUUCGUAGAUAUUCGCAAGAACACCGGUGGCGAAGGCGGCCAACUGGACCAUUCUGACGCUGAGGCGCGACAGCGUGGGGGAGCAAACAGGAUUAGAGUACCCUGG